Molecule: RNase P RNA, 392 nt
Filed under: Gammaproteobacteria bacterium
Lineage: Bacteria; Pseudomonadati; Pseudomonadota; Gammaproteobacteria
Description: RNase P RNA component class A
Rfam family: Bacterial RNase P class A
About the family: Ribonuclease P (RNase P) is a ubiquitous endoribonuclease, found in archaea, bacteria and eukarya as well as chloroplasts and mitochondria. Its best characterised activity is the generation of mature 5'-ends of tRNAs by cleaving the 5'-leader elements of precursor-tRNAs. Cellular RNase Ps are ribonucleoproteins.
Source: RNAcentral
AGAGUCAGCUGGGCAAUUGCUGUUCUGAUGCUUUCAUUUUGUCUAUUGACGGGUGUAAGGGGUUUGGGCAGAGGAAAGUCCGGGCUCCAAAGAGCAGGGUGCCAGGUAACGCCUGGGGGGUGUGAACCCACGGCUAGUGCAACAGAAAAUAUACCGCCUGAAUUAAAAUCUUCGAUUUUAAUCAUGGUAAGGGUGAAAAGGUGCGGUAAGAGCGCACCGCGCAACUGGCAACAGUUUGUGGCAUUGCAAACCCCACUCGGAGCAAGGCCAAAUAGGAAUCUUUCAAUGUUGCUCGCAUAGGAUUCGGGUAGGCCGCUAGAGGCCUGUGGUGACGCAGGUUUUAGAUGAAUAAUUGUCCUCGACAGAACCCGGCUUAUAGGCUGACUCUAUUU